AUACGUAGGUGACAAGCGUUAUCCGGAUUUACUGGGCGUAAAGGGCGUGUAGGCGGUCUUGCAAGUCAGAAGUGAAAUUCCUGAGCUCAACUCGGGCGCUGCUUCUGACACUGCAGGACUUGAGUGCUGGAGGGGAUAGCGGAAUUCCUAGUGGAGCGGUAAAAUGCGCAGAUAUUAGGAAGAACACCGGUGGCGAAGGCGGCUAUCUGGACAGUAACUGACGCUGAGGCUCGAAAGCGUGGGGAGCAAACAGGAUUAGAUACCCUGGUAGUCCACGCUGUAAACGAUGAUUACUAGGUGUGGGGGGACUGACCCCUUCCGUGCCGCAGUUAACACAAUAAGUAAUCCACCUGGGGAGUACGGCCGCAAGGUUGAAACUCAAAUGAAUUGGCGGGG
This 396-nucleotide ribosomal RNA is filed under the name uncultured bacterium. RNAcentral describes it as "partial 16S ribosomal RNA". It matches the Rfam family "Bacterial small subunit ribosomal RNA", at positions 523 to 918 of the family's 1533-position model. The record is from RNAcentral.